Molecule: long non-coding RNA, 1699 nt
Filed under: Lupinus angustifolius (narrow-leaved blue lupine)
Lineage: Eukaryota; Viridiplantae; Streptophyta; Magnoliopsida; Fabales; Fabaceae
Description: long non-coding RNA (LANG_LNC001002)
Source: RNAcentral
UCUCUCAACCCAACCUAUAUGCACCCUUAUCUCCAUCAAACUUUAAGCGAAAAUCCGUCCUAAUAAUUUUCCUAUAUGCAUGUACUAAGUUCUAUUUAUAGAUUCAUGUGAAAAGAAAAAUAUACUAUUGAAAGUGAUCUCGUUUAUACUUUAUACACCUAUCUUUAUUAUAAGAAGUUAGUUUUCCGUCCAUUGAGUUUUGAACAGAAAAACAAUAAUUUUAUAAAAAAUAUGAAAAAUGAUUCCAUACAACACAUGAUUAAUGGAUGUAUCUUCUAAUCACGUGACCUAAGUUGAAGUCUUAUGUUUGAAGGAAAUUAUUGCUGAGACUUACUAAGUCACUAUAAUGCUAUAUAUCAGAAACAGAUCUGGGCCGGGCACUCCAGCCAGUGAAUAAAGUGGGCCGAGCAAAGCCCAUUUCCCACAACCAUAAACCCUACCACUACAAAUACCAUCUCUCUUCCUCAUCUAGAAUUCUAGUGUAGCCGCUGCAAGUGAACGAAACUAAGAAGAAACAGCGAGACAAAGAAGCAGUUGAAGAAUCAAACAUGGGUAACGUACCUAUAAUAUUUAAUCUUAUUUCUUUUCACUGUUUCUUCAUAUAGAUCUGAUUCGUAUAAUUGAUACAGGUAAGGUUCACGGAUCUUUGGCUCGUGCUGGAAAGGUGAGAGGCCAAACACCCAAAGUGGCUAAGCAAGACAAAAAGAAGCAGCCACGUGGACGCGCCCACAAGCGCAUUCAAUACAAUCGCCGAUUCGUCACCGCUGGUAACUUUAAUUAUACCCCGAAACCCUAAUUUUCCUCUUUUCAAACCCUAAGUUGAUGUUUAUGUUUUUGAUCUCACCUAUGUUCAAACCCUAAUUUUCAUAUUUUCAAACCCUAAGUUGAUGUUUAUGUUUUUGAUCUCACCUAUGUCCAAACCCUAAUUUUCCUAUGUUCAAACCCUAAGUUGGUAUUUAAUUUUCGGAUCUCUCCUAUGUUCAAACCCCAAUUUUCCGAUGUUCACGAUCCUAGAGUUUUUUUUGUUGAACGAACUGUUUAGGUUUCAUUUACGCAAAUUUUAUAUAAGAGUAAAGCUAAUGUUUUAGUGGGAAGUGUUAUGUUUCAGUAGUCAGGUUAUGAAGCUUAUUUCUAAUUGAUUGUUCCCUUCCUCGAAAACAAGUAGAUUUUCUAAUAUCAAUCUUUACAAACAAUGUUGUGCCUUUUUAGGAAUUUACUUCUUUAACCUAACCCAAACUUAAUAUGUUUUCUUAAGUUUGAUUUUCUGCAAACUCAUCCAUACAAAUUCAUUCUGCUGCAAUGUCUAGAAAUGUGUAUUUAUACAAUUUAUAUAUUAUUAAAAAAAAUUUUCUCGCUAAUGUAAACACAUUCAAUCCUUUUCCCGUGAAAAGUAGUUUGGUGUUUUAGAAAGCUGAGUUUGUGAACUUUGUGGUCUCAUGAUUAUAUUGUUUUUUUGUGUGAUUGUAGUGGUGGGAUUCGGAAAGAAGCGUGGACCAAAUUCAUCUGAGAAGUGAGGAGCACCCUUCAAGACAUGAUUUUACUUUUUAUCAGUUUGCAAAAUGUAUUCUACUUUGUUUUUGUUUGAUUGUUGAAGUGAAACUAUGCGAUUCCUGAUUAUGUUACAUUGAACCAGAUUUUGGUAGUUAAUGUCAAACUAAAUUUCUUUAUGAUUACAAUUAUGUUAAUUAUUUUUCACAUG